UACACCUCAUCCUAUCGAAAAGCUUCCAUUUUCUUCUUUCUUCUUCGUAUCCGUAGCUCCAUCUCACUCACAAAGCCCUAGCUCCGUCUCACUCUAACCUCUCUAUCACUCUGUUGAAAUCAAACGCCGGACCCUCCCCUCUCUCUCGUAUUCCUGUCUCCCUCUCACUCUAGCUCUCUCUGAUUCUAAGUUUCUGUCUUCUAAUCCCUCUGUCUCUCGCCCUUUCGCACAGCUACCAUAGCCAAUAAAAGAAAAGCCCCAUUUCAUUUCAUAUUCCCCUAUACACUCUCAAAUCUAGCUCCCUCUUAUUCAAUAAAAAUUAAACCCAGACCCCAUUAUUCUUCCCCUCUCUCUCAUAUUCAUGUCUCCCUCUCACUCUAGCUCUCUCUAUCUCUCUCAUUCGAAGUUGAGGGUCCACGACUAAUUUGAUAAUUGUUAGAUGAAUAGGGUUUUGUUGGGUUGUCGGAUUUGAUUAAGGUUUCGGUGGAGGUGGUUGGUAAUGGCGGGUUAGGGUCAGCCUAUAAGGUUGCCGUGGUCAUUUGGGCUGUCUGUGGCGUUCGACGUCGAGAUAAGGCGGUUCGGUGGAGAGUGGAGAAACUGUUAGUCUUCGAGUACGACAGCUUUUAUGCACGGGGAUCCCCUAUACAGAGUUCUCAAACUACGAUGGGGAAAUCUGAAGCCCAGCAAUGUCCUCUUGACACAGAAUUUACAAGCAUGGCGAAAGUGGGAAAGGUUGUGAUGGCAGCAGUACAGCUCCUCCAUGCACUGGAAGUCUUCGGAUUUUGAUUCUUCAAAAAAAAUUGUGGUGGAGUAGGAAAGGAGAGAGGUUUUAUUUAUGAAAUAGAAUGGCUGAUCCCUGAAGUGGAGUUCGACGAUCAAAGAGGGUUAAUAAUGUGCAAGACAAUCCUGCUGUUUUAGUUCCACCUGCUUGCCCAGGUACCAGAAUAGCCAGCAGAGGAAGAGGGAGAGGCUUUAGAGCUAUGAAUCAAGGUAAAAAUGUUAAGCUGACUAGUGCUGGAAUCGACGCUCAUGGAAAUACUGGUUUAGACUUGCCAGUAGGAAAUUUAAUUUCUGUUUGUGAGCUAGGAGUUCAGAAAAGUGCAGAAAAACUAGUUGUUGCUGACGAUGAAGGAAGCACAAGUCCGCUUCCUGAGAGGGUGCAGAUUGGCAAUUCUCCACUGUACAAGUUAGAUAGAAAGCUGGGGAAGGGGGGUUUUGGACAAGUAUUCGUGGGAAGAAGAGUGGCUGGUGGUAUCGCUGGAACUGGGCCUGAUGCCUUUGAGGUUUUACCCCCUCCCGCAUGUUUCACUCUUGUGCAGUUAUUAAGGAAGUUUGUUAUGUUGCUAAUGGCAAUCCCAUUAACCUUUUGUGGGUUGCUUUGAAGUUAGAGCAUAAAAAUAGUAAAGGCUUCAGUCACGGUCCUCCAUAUGAGUGGCAAGUGUACAGGAGGUUGUUGAGGAAAAGAGCCAUAAGCCUGCUGUGACAUCAAUUGAAGUUGGAGAUUGUCGGCAUUCAAUGCAUUGAUGAGAUCUCCAACUGAUGGAUCUGAAUAUUGUGGAGCAAACUCAUUAUAUUCUGAUUGAGAGUAGUAAUUUGACUUAACAUAUUGAUUUCCAUAAUAGAAAUUAUUAGAAUAUUCCUCCCAUUGUGAAUUGUAAUUGUUAGAAUAGGGGUCAUAUCUAUUCAUUUGGGGAUCAUAACAAUGUUGAUAGCAUGUUUCUAUGUCGUAAACCAAGAUCUAUGCAAGCUCUGAAAACAUCAACCACAACUAAUAAAUCAUGUUAGUAAAAAGAGAAAAAAUAGAAUAACAAAUUAAAAAAAAAUAGUCCCCAGCAACGACACCAGAAAUUUGAUGCGUGUCGUAUACCGUAUGAAAUUUAAUUACUAUUUUAAUAACUUAUAACAACUACUUCAAUAUAGCAGUAAAUAAGGGUCGAACCCACGAGGACUAUGUUUCUAAUUAUUAUUCAGAAUUAGAAAUAAACAUAAUUUAAAUAAGUAGUUUUUAAAGUUACUUUCUACCUUCGACAAUCAAUCUAUCAGCUAAGAUAAACAAUAGUCCUUUAUUCCCAAUUAAUCUAUUAACCCCGCAGAGAACACUUAAGCAGUCAAUUAUCCCAGUUUCCCUAUUAUAAUUAAUUAAAGCUCAACACUCUUAAUUAACCCUUUUUACCAAGCAAUAAACCCAUUCAGCAUGCGAUCUAUUUAACCUAGGAAAAGCAUUACACUCUAUGGAAACAAGUUAAUCUAGGCAACAAAUUCAUUAAGCAUGCAAUUCAUUUAUCCUAGGUUCUAUAUUUCAUCACAAUCAAAAUACCCGUCAUAAUACCUUAAUUGCAAUUUAUCACUCUACAUUGAAUUCGAAACUAUUAAGUGAAUAACAAUCCUAAGAUGAUAAUAGAAUAAUGCAAAGCCCUAAUUAGCUGCCGUCUAAACAAGAUUUUACAAGAUCCGUGACAUUAAAAUAGAAAAAUAGAAGCAAUUUAAUAUAUGUGAAUAGAAGAAAUAAAAUUUAUCAAUGCAUUCAAGAUUUUUUAAAAUAACCCUUAACUACAAAUAAAACUACUCCAAAUUUACCAUUGCUUGUAAAACAUCCCAAAUUCAUUCUUUUUCAUCCAAAUGUCUUGAAAAUUCUAAAAACACAAAAUAAACUAAUUAAACAUAUAUAAAUAAAUAAUCUAGUGCAUAAUCAUAGAAGAAUAAUGAAUUAAAAAUAGACAAAUUCGAUACGUAUCAACUAUAAAAGGUUUUAGGGCUAAACUUUAGAUUUAAGUAUUAAUUACGAUUCUUGGAGAUCAGAACUACAUAAGAGAAGAGAAGACAUAAUUAUUGUCUACAACCAUUCCAGUUUUUCUUCAUUUCUCUAAAACUCAUUUAUUUUCAAUUUAUGAUUAUGUGUAUGAUGAUGUUUGUGACUAUGGAGUAGUUCUCUUUUAGGUUAAAGUUUAUUUCAAAACCCAAGACAUGAAAUCUUGAAUGCAAUUGUGAACUUUAUUUCUUCAAUUUCCUUAUAUCAAAUUGUUUCUAUUCUUUUAAUUGAAUGAUAUGAAUUGUGUGAUAUCUUGUCAGGUGGCCAACUAAUUAGGGUGUUGUGGUCUUCUAUUACCAUCUUAGGAUUGCUAUUCAAGCAAUAGUCUAGGGUUCUAAGUGGAGUGAUAAAAUUGUAAUUAAGUAUUGUGAUGGAGAAUUGAACCUAGGGUAAAUGGAUUGCAUGCUUAAUGAAUUUGUUCCGUAGAUUAACUUAUUUCCGCUAAAUUUAAUGCUUUUUCCGAGUUAAAUAGAUUGCAUAGUUACUGGAUUUAUUGCUUGGUAAAAGAAUUAAUUAAUGAGUGCUUAGCUUAAAUUAAUUAUGAUAAGGAAACUAGGAUAAUUGACUGCUUAAGUGUUAUAUGCAGGCUUAAUAGUUUAAUUAGGAAUAGUGUAGUGAUCCAAAUUUCUUUUCUUAUCUAUAUAUUUUAUUUAUUUAAUUUUUAUGUUGUAGUUUAAUUGUUUGAUUUGUAGAAAAUAUUUGAACAAUUGGUUUGUGUGAAUUAUGAUUUAUUGAUUUAUUGUGUAAUGUUUGUUUACUUAUUAGUGUUACAUUUUAUUAGGUGUGACAAAUUAUGUGAUUAGAAUAGGGUGUUGAAUUUGUAUGUGUGUGUGUGUGUGGAUAUUGGUUUUAUUUUAUUAUUUUAAAAUUAAGAAAUUCAAAAGGGAAAGGAAUGUUAAUUGUCAUCUUUUGGGAUAAGAUGACAAGUGUAGCGCCCUGGAUAACCAAGACCAUUACACUGUGUGUUUAAAAUAGUGCAAGACUUGCUAGUCAAGUCAUUUAAAUAAAAAUGUGAAUCUAAAGUCAUAAACAUGUUAGGUUUAAAAUAUUUUGGUCAUAAAAAAAUAACUUUCAUUAAAAAUAAAUGUUUAAUACAUGGGAUCCCAAAAAUGGUUUGGAGGACAUAUUUACAAAAUUACCAAAUGUUAUAAAUAAUUAAAGCCACUCUAAUCCGUCCCUAUACAAUCCCUCGACCGUGGCGGCGAAGCAGCUGACAAUGUACACCUCGCCCCCAGAACUCUCCAACCCAUGGUUGAACCAUCUUACCCUUGCCCUUACCUGCACCACGUAGCACCCGUGAGUUGAGGCCCAGCCAGAAAACCAUAACACCAUAGCAUGAUCAAUAUCAAUAACCAAAUAAUCCAUAAAGCAUAACCAGAUAUUUAUCAAUCCAUAGCAUUCACAUAAUCAGUGAUAACAAUUGACGAAUCCACAAUCUAUUAUCCAGGUAUCCAGCAUAUCAUAUUCAUCAAAUUAAUAACAAUAGACAUAUCAUACAAUAACUAGGGUUGACGUCCGUAGACCGCAACCUCUGUUUAACCCACUGUCUUCGGCUCACUUAGGUUGAGCCCAGUGUUCAACCCACUGACUCUAGCUCGCUUAGGCCAAGAUCAGUGAUCAUUUAAUUAACCUCAGCUACAAGUGGUCGAGCCGUGUCCUUGUGCGCCCAUAUUAAUUCUGGCACACUCAGGUCCUUUAUCUCAUGCGUACAUGGCAUAAUACAAUCAUACAACAUCACAUACAAGUACAGGGAGCUCUUAGUCCCAACAUAGCCACAUAUUUGGGUGUAGUUUUCUUACCUUUGAUUCCGAGUGGAGAAGGUGAAUUGGUUCCGAGCACGAUCCCUAGCCUUGAGCCUUGGCAACAAACCUAGUCACAAGAGUCAUUAAUAUCUAUCAACUUCCAAUCAAAAAUAAAAUACAUAGGGAACAAAACUAGCCUACGGGGCCUCAAAUUCUACUAAAUUGGGUAGUAGAAAUUGUCUUGAGCCUCUAGGUUCGAAUCCCCGAGCCCUAACAAUACUUAGAACUCCUUCAAAUUUAAACCCCCAGGCAGGUUGCGACUUGGAUCAGCAGGUCGGGACUUGCCCCAAGUUAGAGAGCAAGCUCUCACACCAAAAGGGAGGCAGGUCGCGACUUGGCCAGGCAAGUUGCGGUGCGCCCCCAAGUCAGAGGCCCAACCCAGGCCAAAAAGGCCACAUGCACUGUGGCGUGCCCUGCGAACCCAGAGAAAACCUGGGUUUUCUCCUCCUUCUUCCUGCCAAGAACAUUUACUCCUACCCAGAAUUUCUUCCUUAAUUCAUCACUAAACCAACCACAAAUUUGGACCUAUAAUUACAUAUUUUCAUCCUAUAAUUCCCAGCAAUAUAAACAAACAUCAACAUCUUAAUUCAGCCACAAGAAUCACAACAUAACCAUUGAGAUUUUCUACUCAAACCAUCAGCCAAAUUCAUCACUAAACCUAUACUCAAGAACCUAAAAUUCAACUUAAACCAUUCAGCAAAACUCAGAAGUUUAGGACAAUAGUCUUACCUCAAGUGGAGACCCAAUUCUCAGCUGAAUCUUCACACCAACACAGCUCCAAAAAUUCAGACUUUUCUUUGAUUUUAAGCCACCAUUGAAGUUUGAUUCCCCCUUAAAUUUCCUCAAAGAUCACAGCCUCAACACCUAGCCUAAGAUCUUCUUGAGUCUUUGCUUGAAGCUCAAAUGGAAGCAAGAGAAAGAGAGGGAUAUGUGGGGGACAGAGAAAAGUGAGCUGGGAUUUAUGUUUCCUUCUUUCUUUCCUUAGACUAUUCUUCAAUCUUCUCAGCUUUGUCCUAAAAAAAGGCUGAGCAAAUCAUUAACUAACAAAAAGACCAUUUUACCCUUCCCAACAAAACUAACCUUUAGCUUAAUCUAGGGGUAUAAUAGUCAUUUGUUCCCAAUUCCCACUAAUUUCUCAAGUGUUCCUAAUAUUUACCACUUAAAUCCUAUCAUCCAACUAAUCACCAGUUAUUUACCCAUAGUCCAAUAAUUCCCAACAUAUUCUCUAAAUUCCCAGAAAUACACCCAGGCUCCCCCGAGCCGGGUAUUAAUCCCCACCGUGACUUUUUUUCCAAUCCGCUUGCCAGGACCGUCUCAAGCCAUAUGCUGCAAAUAUAUCCACAUAAUAAUGUGGUCUCAACAAUUUAUCACACAUAAUUAUAUUUAUUCCCUCAAUGGGCCAAAAUUACAAAUAUGCCCUUAAAAACUACAUAGGGCCCACAUGCAUAUUUGAUUCUCAUAGGCAUGUAUUUCACAUUAACAUGCAUUUAUUAAUUUAAUCACAUAAAUACCAAUUAUGCCCUCCCAACGCACUAAUCAAGGCCCUUAUGCCUUAUUAGUAAUUUUGGGUUGUUACAACAAGGUUUAUCUAUUGGAUUAUGUUUACAUCUGGAUAGGGUUUAAGUGAGGUGUAAAGAGAGGAAAUGGUGGAAUUAGGCUUAUUUGGUGGGAUAGGAUUGAAGCUUUCACACUUGGUUUCAUUCCUUAGGUUUAGGACACUAGGGUAUUAUAAAAAGAAUAACAUAGGAGCUUUAGAAAACCCUUUGGUAGCUGCCAAAUUGUUGAGAGAAAGAAAGAGAGAAAGAAGGAGAAGAAAAAGGGGUUUAAAAAAUCUCUAGGUAUGUGUUCUUAUAUUGAUUUUUGUUUUAACUUUGAUCCUCUAGGAUUAUUUUUCUCCUUCUCAAUUCUAAGAAGUUUUUCAUCUUUUCUUUUGGCGGUGUAUUUUGAAAUCCCUAGGUGCCUAAAGAUUGAUUUGCUUUGUGUUAUUGAACACUACCAAUGAGGCUUGUUGUGAAGUAUUCUCGCUGUUAUUUUGCUUGGACUUGAGUGAUGCAGCAUUAAAAGUAGACGUGCCUAAGAUUCUGGCCAAAAGGGUGUCAGGAAAAUUCAUGGCCAAAAGGGUGCCAGGUGAAUUAUGGCCAAAAGUGUGCCAUGGACGUGACCAAAAGGGAGUCACAUGUGAUCAUUGGACAAUCGGGGUAGGAAAUAGAUAGACUUGUUUGGCACGCAUGGUGAGCUAAGUCAGUUUUCCAUAAGUAUGUAUGUAUGUUGCGGGGAGCCAAUCAACGAGGAAACAAUCUAGAUCUCUGUAGUGCCUUAGAGUCUUUAUUAUGUUAAUUUAUUAGUGGGAUGUAUUUUUAGUUAUUUUUAUGAAUGCAUCAAACUCUCUUUUGUUUUGAUCAUUGGAUCGAAACUUUGCAUGUAUUUCCAAUAAAGUCCCAUUGUGUUUUUAGACAAAGUUAUGAAAUCUUUUGAACUAUUAUUAAAACUAGUAUUUUAAUAAAGAUAGGCAAUUAUGGGGGUUAUAAA
This is a long non-coding RNA of Humulus lupulus (European hop), 7140 nucleotides long. RefSeq lists it as uncharacterized. The transcript has 10 exons. The record is from RefSeq and is a predicted model, not a curated record. NCBI's taxonomy places the organism in Eukaryota, Viridiplantae, Streptophyta, Magnoliopsida, Rosales, Cannabaceae.